GACGAACGCUGGCGGCGUGCUUAACACAUGCAAGUCGAGCGGUAAGGCUCCUUCGGGCGUACACGAGCGGCGAACGGGUGAGUAACACGUGAGUAAUCUGCCCCUCACUUCGGGAUAACCACCGGAAACGGUGGCUAAUACCGAAUACGACCAGUCUUCGCAUGAGGUGCUGGUGGAAAGUCUUUUCGGUGAAGGAUGUGCUCGCGGCCUAUCAGCUUGUUGGUGGGGUAAUGGCCUACCAAGGCUUCGACGGGUAGCCGGCCUGAGAGGGUGACCGGCCACACUGGGACUGAGACACGGCCCAGACUCCUACGGGAGGCAGCAGUGGGGAAUAUUGGACAAUGGGCGAAAGCCUGAUCCAGCAACGCCGCGUGAGGGAUGACGGCCUUCGGGUUGUAAACCUCUUUCAGUACCGACGAAGCGCCCUGUCGGGUGGUGACGGUAGGUACAGAAGAAGGACCGGCCAACUACGUG
This 474-nucleotide ribosomal RNA is filed under the name uncultured bacterium. RNAcentral's name for it is "partial 16S ribosomal RNA". It matches the Rfam family "Bacterial small subunit ribosomal RNA", at positions 28 to 507 of the family's 1533-position model. The record is from RNAcentral.